Molecule: ribosomal RNA, 244 nt
Filed under: uncultured Actinomycetales bacterium
Lineage: Bacteria; Bacillati; Actinomycetota; Actinomycetes; Actinomycetales
Description: partial 16S ribosomal RNA
Rfam family: Bacterial small subunit ribosomal RNA
Source: RNAcentral
GCUCGAGUGGCGAACGGGUGAGUAACACGUGAGUAACCUGCCCUUGACUUUGGGAUAACUUCAGGAAACUGGGGCUAAUACCGGAUAGGAGCUCCUGCUGCAUGGUGGGGGUUGGAAAGUUUCGGCGGUUGGGGGUGGACUCGCGGCUUAUCAGCUUGUUGGUGGGGUAGUGGCUUACCAAGGCUUUGACGGGUAGCCGGCCUGAGAGGGUGACCGGCCACAUUGGGACUGAGAUACGGCCCAG